Molecule: ribosomal RNA, 301 nt
Filed under: uncultured bacterium
Lineage: Bacteria
Description: partial 16S ribosomal RNA
Rfam family: Bacterial small subunit ribosomal RNA
Source: RNAcentral
CAGCAGCCACGGGAAUACGGAGGGUGCAAGCGUUAAUCGGAAUUACUGGGCGUAAAGCGCACGCAGGCGGUCUGUCAAGUCAGAUGUGAAAUCCCCGGGCUUAACCUGGGAACUGCAUUUGAAACUGUCAGGCUGGAGUCUUGUAGAGGGGGGUAGAAUUCCAGGUGUAGCGGUGAAAUGCGUAGAGAUCUGGAGGAAUACCGGUGGCGAAGGCGGCCCCCUGGACAAAGACUGACGCUCAGGUGCGAAAGCGUGGGGAGCAAACAGGAUUAGAGACCCCGGUAGUCCCUGUCUCUUAUAC